CGGGUAAUACGGGACGCACUAAGCGAAGGCAUUUGCCAAGAGUGUUUUCAUUAAUCAAGAACCGAAAGUCAGAGGUUCGAAGGCGAUUAGAUACCGCCCUAGUUCUGACCGUAAAAGAUGCCAACUACCAAUUCGCUUGUGGAUUCGAGUUCAUAAGCGAGCGGGUUUCCGGAAACGAAAGUCUUUCGGUUCCGGGGGAAGUAUGGUUGCAAAGCUGAAACUUAAAGGAAUUGACGGAAGGGCACCACCAGGAGUGGAGCUUGCGGCUUAAUUUGACUCAACACGGGAAACCUCACCCGGCCAGCACAUCGUGAGGAUUGACAGACCGAUAGCUCUUUCAUGAUUCGGUGGAUGGUGGUGCAUGGCCGUUCUUAGUUCGUGCUAACGAAGUGUCUGCUUUAUUGCGAUAACGAGCGAGACGCCGACUGCUAACUAGUGCGUCGAUUGAUUCGUUUGUCGACGAUCAUUUCUUAGCGGGAUUCGUGGUUCUUAGCCUCAAGAAAUGGCGCAAUAACAGGUCUGUGAUGCCCUUAGAUGUUCGGGGCCGCACGCGUGCUACAAUGGUGGUAUCAGCGUGAUUGUCCUACUCCGAGAGGAGAUGGCAAACAGUUGAGAUAUUAUUAUGGCUGGAAUUGAGUGUUGAAAUUUUCACUCAUGAACGAGGAAUUCCAAGUAAAUGCGAGUCAUCAACUCGCAUUGAUUACGUCCCUGCCCCUUUGUACACACCGCCCGUCGCUCCCCGGGACUGAGUUGUUUCGAGAAAUCCACGGACCGGCGUUCGCUCAUGUUUCGGCAUGUCGUUUGCUGGAAAGUGGCUUAAUCGCAACGGCUUGAACCGGGGAAAAGUCGUACACCAAGGUAGCAA
This 865-nucleotide ribosomal RNA is filed under the name Aphelenchoides besseyi. RNAcentral's name for it is "SSU rRNA". It matches the Rfam family "Eukaryotic small subunit ribosomal RNA", at positions 922 to 1805 of the family's 1831-position model. The record is from RNAcentral. Lineage: Eukaryota; Metazoa; Nematoda; Chromadorea; Rhabditida; Aphelenchoididae.